This 862-nucleotide ribosomal RNA is filed under the name uncultured Neocallimastigales. RNAcentral describes it as "partial large subunit ribosomal RNA". It matches the Rfam family "Eukaryotic large subunit ribosomal RNA", at positions 22 to 644 of the family's 3401-position model. Lineage: Eukaryota; Fungi; Neocallimastigomycota; Neocallimastigomycetes; Neocallimastigales. The record is from RNAcentral.
CUAUACAUGACUCUGCGCAUAUCAAUAAGCGGAGGAAAAGAAACUAACAAGGAUUCCCUUAGUAACGGCGAGUGAAGCGGGAAGAGCUCAAAUUUGAAAUCUUCAAGGUUUUACCUUGACGAAUUGUAGUUUAAAGAAGUGUUUUCUGUUGGAGUUUUGGUAAAAGUUCUUUGGAAUAGGACAUCAUAGAGGGUGAGAAUCCCGUAUUUGACCAUUAUUUCCAACUUUGUGAUACACUUUCAAAGAGUCGGAUUGUUUGGGAAUGCAGUCCAAAAUGGGUGGUAAAUUUCAUCUAAAGCUAAAUAUUGGCGAGAGACCGAUAGCGAACAAGUACCGUGAGGGAAAGAUGAAAAGAACUUUGAAAAGAGAGUUAAACAGUACGUGAAAUUGUCAAAAGGGAAGCGUUUGACACCAGUGUUGUUUUUCCGAAAAUCAAUUAAAAAUUGAUUCAUGCCAGGUUGUAUUGACCUUAUCAGCUUGCAAUUUGGUUUUGGGUCUCUUUUUGAUGCACUUUUCGGUUAACAAGUCAACAUCAAUUUCCUUUGCUGUAAAAAGGUAAGAGGAAGGUGGCUUCAAUUUCGGUUGAAGUGUUUAUAGCCUUUUAUCUCUGCAGUCGGGGAGAUUGAGGUCUGCAGCGUAGAUCCUUCGGGGCUAGAUACAUUUAUGCUAAGUUAUAGCUUUUCAUAGACAACUUGUUGACUAUGUUUAGUCAUGUAGCUUACUCGUAAGUGCUAUUUUACCUACGCUUAGGAUGUUGAUGAUAUGCGCGACACGACUCUAUACAUGACUCUGCGCAUAUCAAUAAGCGGAGGAAAAGAGGGCUAUUACCUACGCUUAGGAUGUUGAAGAUAUGCGCGACACG